GGUUAAGCGACUAAGCGUACACGGUGGAUGCCCUGGCAGUCAGAGGCGAUGAAGGACGUGCUAAUCUGCGAUAAGCGUCGGUAAGGUGAUAUGAACCGUUAUAACCGGCGAUUUCCGAAUGGGGAAACCCAGUGUGAUUCGUCACACUAUCAUUAACUGAAUCCAUAGGUUAAUGAGGCGAACCGGGGGAACUGAAACAUCUAAGUACCCCGAGGAAAAGAAAUCAACCGAGAUUCCCCCAGUAGCGGCGAGCGAACGGGGAGCAGCCCAGAGCCUGAAUCAGUGUGUGUGUUAGUGGAAGCGUCUGGAAAGGCGUGCGAUACAGGGUGACAGCCCCGUACACAAAAAUGCACAUACUGUGAGCUCGAUGAGUAGGGCGGGACACGUGGUAUCCUGUCUGAAUAUGGGGGGACCAUCCUCCAAGGCUAAAUACUCCUGACUGACCGAUAGUGAACCAGUACCGUGAGGGAAAGGCGAAAAGAACCCCGGCGAGGGGAGUGAAAAAGAACCUGAAACCGUGUACGUACAAGCAGUGGGAGCACGCUUAGGCGUGUGACUGCGUACCUUUUGUAUAAUGGGUCAGCGACUUAUAUUCUGUAGCAAGGUUAACCGAAUAGGGGAGCCGAAGGGAAACCGAGUCUUAACUGGGCGUUAAGUUGCAGGGUAUAGACCCGAAACCCGGUGAUCUAGCCAUGGGCAGGUUGAAGGUUGGGUAACACUAACUGGAGGACCGAACCGACUAAUGUUGAAAAAUUAGCGGAUGACUUGUGGCUGGGGGUGAAAGGCCAAUCAAACCGGGAGAUAGCUGGUUCUCCCCGAAAGCUAUUUAGGUAGCGCCUCGUGAAUUCAUCUCCGGGGGUAGAGCACUGUUUCGGCAAGGGGGUCAUCCCGACUUACCAACCCGAUGCAAACUGCGAAUACCGGAGAAUGUUAUUACGGGAGACACACGGCGGGUGCUAACGUCCGUCGUGAAGAGGGAAACAACCCAGACCGCCAGCUAAGGUCCCAAAGUCAUGGUUAAGUGGGAAACGAUGUGGGAAGGCCCAGACAGCCAGGAUGUUGGCUUAGAAGCAGCCAUCAUUUAAAGAAAGCGUAAUAGCUCACUGGUCGAGUCGGCCUGCGCGGAAGAUGUAACGGGGCUAAACCAUGCACCGAAGCUGCGGCAGCGACGCUUAUGCGUUGUUGGGUAGGGGAGCGUUCUGUAAGCCUGUGAAGGUGUGCUGUGAGGUAUGCUGGAGGUAUCAGAAGUGCGAAUGCUGACAUAAGUAACGAUAAAGCGGGUGAAAAGCCCGCUCGCCGGAAGACCAAGGGUUCCUGUCCAACGUUAAUCGGGGCAGGGUGAGUCGACCCCUAAGGCGAGGCCGAAAGGCGUAGUCGAUGGGAAACAGGUUAAUAUUCCUGUACUUGGUGUUACUGCGAAGGGGGGACGGAGAAGGCUAUGUUGGCCGGGCGACGGUUGUCCCGGUUUAAGCGUGUAGGCUGGUUUUCCAGGCAAAUCCGGAAAAUCAAGGCCGAGGCGUGAUGACGAGGCACUACGGUGCUGAAGCAACAAAUGCCCUGCUUCCAGGAAAAGCCUCUAAGCAUCAGGUAACAUCAAAUCGUACCCCAAACCGACACAGGUGGUCAGGUAGAGAAUACCAAGGCGCUUGAGAGAACUCGGGUGAAGGAACUAGGCAAAAUGGUGCCGUAACUUCGGGAGAAGGCACGCUGAUACGUAGGUGAAGCGACUUGCUCGUGGAGCUGAAAUCAGUCGAAGAUACCAGCUGGCUGCAACUGUUUAUUAAAAACACAGCACUGUGCAAACACGAAAGUGGACGUAUACGGUGUGACGCCUGCCCGGUGCCGGAAGGUUAAUUGAUGGGGUUAGCGCAAGCGAAGCUCUUGAUCGAAGCCCCGGUAAACGGCGGCCGUAACUAUAACGGUCCUAAGGUAGCGAAAUUCCUUGUCGGGUAAGUUCCGACCUGCACGAAUGGCGUAAUGAUGGCCAGGCUGUCUCCACCCGAGACUCAGUGAAAUUGAACUCGCUGUGAAGAUGCAGUGUACCCGCGGCAAGACGGAAAGACCCCGUGAACCUUUACUAUAGCUUGACACUGAACAUUGAGCCUUGAUGUGUAGGAUAGGUGGGAGGCUUUGAAGUGUGGACGCCAGUCU
RNAcentral lists this ribosomal RNA (2151 nucleotides) under Shigella flexneri. RNAcentral's name for it is "partial 23S ribosomal RNA". It matches the Rfam family "Bacterial large subunit ribosomal RNA", at positions 1 to 2177 of the family's 2925-position model. The record is from RNAcentral. Lineage: Bacteria; Pseudomonadati; Pseudomonadota; Gammaproteobacteria; Enterobacterales; Enterobacteriaceae.